This 516-nucleotide ribosomal RNA is filed under the name uncultured bacterium. RNAcentral's name for it is "bacterial SSU rRNA". It matches the Rfam family "Bacterial small subunit ribosomal RNA", at positions 389 to 896 of the family's 1533-position model. The record is from RNAcentral.
CAGCUAUGCCGCGAUGAGUGAAGAAGGCCUUCGGGUUUGUAAAGCUCUUUUGUCAGGGAAGAAACGGUAAGGGCUAAUAUCUCUUGCUAAUGACGGUACCUGAAGAAUAAGCACCGGCUAACUACGUGCCAGCAGCCGCGGUAAUACGUAGGGUGCAAGCGUUAAUCGGAAUUACUGGGCGUAAAGCGUGCGCAGGCGGUUUUGUAAGUCUGUCGUGAAGGCCCCGGGCUCAACCUGGGAAUUGCGAUGGAGACUGCAAGGCUUGAAUCUGGCAGAGGGGGGUAGAAUUCCACGUGUAGCAGUGAAAUGCGUAGAGAUGUGGAGGAACACCGAUGGCGAAGGCAGCCCCCUGGGUCAAGAUUGACGCUCAUGCACGAAAGCGUGGGGAGCAAACAGGAUUAGAUACCCUGGUAGUCCACGCCCUAAACGAUGUCUACUAGUUGUCGGGUUUUAAUUAACUUGGUAACGCAGCUAACGCGUGAAGUAGACCGCCUGGGGAGUACGGUCGCAAGAUUA